CCCGCGCUCCUCCGGGCAGAGCGCGUGUGGCGGCCGAGCACAUGGGCCCGCGGGCCGGGCGGGCUCGGGGCGGCCGGGACGAGGAGGGGCGACGACGAGCUGCGAGCAAAGAUGUGCCCCGGGACCCCCGGCACCUUCCAGUGGAUUUCCUUGCGGAAAGGAUGUUGGCGGUCCCUGUGACCUGUGGAGACACGGCCAGAUCUGCCCUCCAGACCAUAGCUGUCUGCAGUGCAGGAAGCCAACUAUUAAGGGGAAACAAAAGUGUUCUUAGGAGUCCUGCUGUCACUGUGGAUUGAGCCGGUGAAGCCCUGAGGGAUUUCAUCGCUGAGGUGGAUGGAGAAGCAGCUGGGGGCCUUGGCUGUAAGGACCCCUAAGGGCCUGAUCUUUUGGCCAGAAGGAGAUUAAAAAGAUGCCCCUCAAGAUGGCUGUGCCUGUCAGCUGCAUGGAGCUUCGUUCAAGUAUUUUCUGAGCCUGAUGGAUUUACAGUGAUCUUCAGUGGUCUGGGGAAUAACGCUGGUGGAACCAUGCACUGGAAUGACACACGCCCGGCACAUUUCAGGAUACUAAAAGUGGUUUUAAGGGAGGCUGUGGCUGAAUGCCUCAUGGAUUCUUACAGCUUGGAUGUCCAUGGGGGACGAAGGACUGCAGCUGGCUGAGAGGGUUGAGAUCUCUGUUUACUUAGAUCUCUGCCAACUUCCUUUGGGUCUCCCUAUGGAAUGUAAGACCCCGACUCUUCCUGGUGAAGCAUCUGAUGCACGUUCCAUCCGGCGCUCAGCUGGGCUUGAGAGUCUCACUCUGUGGUCCAGGCUGAAGUACAGUGGCAUGAUCCCAGGUCACUGCAACCCCCACCUCCCGGGUUCAAGUGAUCCUCCUGCCUCAGCCUCCCGAGUAGCUGGUAUUACAGGCGUGUGCCACAAAGCCUGGCUAAGUUUUGUAUUUUUAGUAGAGACGGGGUUUCACCAUGUUGGCCAGGUUGGUCUCGAACUCCUGACCUCAAGUGAUCCACUCACUUUGGCCUUUCAACGUGCUGGGAUUACAGGCGAGAGUCACCGCACCCGGACGACUCUGACAUUUUUGAAGAGUCCAGAAUCCUGUUACACCUGGGAUUUAGGCACUUUCAAUCUGAAAAAAUACAUAUCCUUUCAGCACUCUGGACGGACUUGAGAACUGUCCUUACGUGACCUAAAGCUGGAGUAUUUUGAGAUUGGAGAAUUAAGGCCUUCAGUGGGUUGAAUGAGGCCCAACCCACAUUGAAGAGGACCAUCUGCUUUACUCAGUCUCCUGGUUGAAGUGAUAAUCUCAUCUGGACAUACUCAGAAAUGCUGUUUAACCAGCUCUCUGGAAAUCCUGUGGCCCAGUCAAGUUGACACACAAAAUUAACCAUCACACUGCAGAGACACAGUCUAUCCCAAUACCUGUAUUUACUGGAGUGUGGGCACCCUGGCUUCAAGCUCACGAGAAACCAGAAGGAAGUCACUGUGCAUAGCCAUCCCCUAAGAAGAGGGCAUUCCUGCUCUUCCUUCUCCAUGGCUAGAGGAUCUACAUGAACUAUUUAGAUUUUUUCUACCUGGGAGAUUUAACUCCUCUCUCCUAUUUAUUUAUUUAUAUAUCAGCAUGGACUUGCAGGCCAACAGAGAUUUUGAGAAACACAUUGAAGGAUCUGUUAACACUUGAUAUACCCAAUAAAAGCAGUGGUUGUGCCAGUGCUGAUCUGUCUUGAUGUGAAUGUGAACAAUGGGAACCUGAGCUGAGCAGUUAAUGCUAGGGUGACAGAAACUGGACCUCUCCCAAGACAUGUGACAGAGUAAUACAGCAGCCAACUUCUUCGCCAAAUUAAAGUUUUACAAGAUUUAACCUGUCAUCAAGACCUGGGAUUUUGGUGAGCCAGUCUUGGUGCUCUGUGUUCACCUGGUUCAUCUGAGGAGCUGCAUCUACCCUGCCCAUGCCAUAGAUCCUGCCCUGUUUGCUUCUCCUGUUGCUGCUAGUGGACAUGAGAAGGACAGAAUAACGGGCUCCCAGAUUCACAAGCCCCACCAAGAGGAUCACCCCAGGAACGCUUGGAGGCUGAGGAGUUCACUGAGGCUACUGCAUCUUGAGACUCAGGAUGAAGACCCAGCUUGGGGCUGUCAAAGGUUUUUUGCAUGUCUGACACCCAUGACUCCACCUGGACCUUAUGGCUCCACCCAGAAGCAAUUCAGCCCAACAGGAGGACAGCUUCAACCCAUUACGAUUUCAUCUCUGCCCCAACCACUCAGCAGCAAGCACCUGUUACCUGUCCACCCCCACCCCUUCCCCCAAACUGCCUUUGAAAAAUCCCUAACCUAUGAGCUUUGAAUAAGAUGAGUACGAACUUCAUCGCCCACGUGGCGUGGCCGGCCUCGUGUCUAUUAAAUUCUUUUUCUACUACAA
This 2409-nucleotide long non-coding RNA is filed under the name Homo sapiens (human). Its description in RNAcentral is "Pvt1 oncogene, transcript variant 7 (PVT1)". The stretch from base 34 to 211 matches the Rfam family "Pvt1 oncogene conserved region 1". The record is from RNAcentral. Lineage: Eukaryota; Metazoa; Chordata; Mammalia; Primates; Hominidae.